AUGGCCUCCUCAGCUUCCACCUCCCUCUCCCCAGCAGCCCUCCCAGCCACCACUCCACCUCCACUACCCCCCGCUCCCUGCCCCCCUCCCGAUCCAGAUCCAGAUCCCUUGCUUGCUGCCGCCGUUGGAGGGCUGGAGGCUCCCGUCCCUUGCUCUGAGCUCCUGCUGCCACCUCCUCCACCUCGCCUUCCCGCGAACUCUAUGCCGAAGCUGGUCGCCGAGGUACUUGUGGCGUCUUCCGAGCAGCCUUGGGUGGAGGUUGGGGGACAGCGUCGUUCGUGGAUGGAGAAGGCGCCCGCUCCAUCUCCCAGGAAAGGGGUCGGUCUCUCCCUCGCCUUCAAGAGGAGAACGUACGGCCGCUGCUUCCGUUGCCUCGCGUCGGAGCACUUCGUGGCUGACUGCCGCGACCCUAUAAGGUGCCUGGGUUGUGGCAUCUCUGGCCACCGCGAGCGGGAGUGCCCGACACGCCUUCCGGCCAGACAAGCUUCAACCCGCCACUCCCCCUCGCCUGCGGCCUCUCCACGUCGGUCACCGGAUGCGCCACCCUGCCACGCGCCUCCGCCAGAUCCGCGACUUUGCUCGUGGGCCUCCGUUGCUGCCUCUCCGUCUAUGCUCGUUCAGGAGGCGCCUUGUAGCAACUCCGGCUCCCCCUGCUCAGGUCUUGCCGACCUCGUCAAGUCUUCCAUUGCUGCUGAAUUGGGGCUGCUCCAACCCCACUUUGCAGCUCAGAUCGAGGCGCUGCGCACCGAGGUGCAAGCCCUGGCUGCUGCUCGUACUGAGGAGGUCAUUCAGCCUCUCCGCGACAUGGCGUUCGCUCUACAGGGUUGGGCGGUUCAGGUUUCGAGCCUCUUAGAGCGGCUGGAGGCUAUCAGUGGAAGUGUUGUUUCUUGGCCGGCCAUCAAUGGGUCUCCUGAGGUGCGAGAGGGUGGGACUACGAGGAUCAGUGGGGGACCUUUCUCUUCCUCGGCGCCGAUGGAUCCGCCUCCCCCCUGGUGUGAGCAUGAGGAACAGGCGCCUCUCGUUGUUGCUUGUGCUAAGGGUGUCAGUGAGAUUAGUGUGGCUGGUUGCUCGUCCGAGGUGCUGGCUACUAUGGCGCUCCCUGCAGAAGUUUUUCCUACUUUGGAUGUAGAUUUGCACAAGAUGGUGAUUCAACACGAGGAGGAGCAAGGAACGGUUGAGGAGAUAGUCAAAGUGAGCAAGGACAUGGAGCAAAUUGAGGUGGUUUUGCCUGCUGGCUUGGCUGCAGAGGUGCCUCCCUUGGUCUCCUCUCCAGUGAUGCUUUCUUCAGGGGGCACUACCAAUAUGAUGUCUUCGGGGUCCGAGGAGCUACUUGGUGACAUUGGCAUGCCUCAAGGUCUGGCUUCAACCACCUUGCUGGAUGAGUUCCUAAGUAGCUUCAGUUGCACAGCGCCGCGGUCCUUGCUCGAAACACCGAUUCAUGUGCAGAUUGAAGGGGCAUCUACUUGUUCCGAGAGGCGUAGUGGACGUUUGGAUAAGAAGAACAAAAGUUGCAACAUCCCGACUGCCAAGCAUGCUGAAUAUAGGUUGGCGGAGGCUUUUGGGGAGAUACCAAAGGGAACGACAUCUAAGAAAGUCACCGAGGAGGAUGUGCAAGAGAAGAUGAAGUCUUAUUUGCGUAUGUACAAGAAACCGCUCACGUCGACGGUGAUCCAGGCAAUUCGUGCCUUGGUGGAGGUUAAUGUGUAA
Molecule: ribosomal RNA, 1707 nt
Filed under: Triticum aestivum (bread wheat)
Lineage: Eukaryota; Viridiplantae; Streptophyta; Magnoliopsida; Poales; Poaceae
Description: partial small subunit ribosomal RNA
Source: RNAcentral